RNAcentral lists this long non-coding RNA (342 nucleotides) under Bemisia tabaci. Its description in RNAcentral is "lncRNA ENSASIAIIG003804". The record is from RNAcentral. Lineage: Eukaryota; Metazoa; Arthropoda; Insecta; Hemiptera; Aleyrodidae.
AAUUUAUUCGGAUUAAUUGCAUUAACGGUGACGGUGUUGUGAUUUAUGCCUUAACGUAACACAUCACGGGCAAUUGAGUUGUUGGUAUACAUUGUUUGCAAACACGAAAACAAUUCUUAGCUUGGGAGCCGUAAAAUAUAAUAUAUGUGCAUUUGGGGCCUAGCCGAUGAUAUGAAGAACAUGAUUGGUGACAAUAUCAAUUUAUGCUUAUAAUUUAUGACUCUUCAACACGGACAUUUUACUUGGCAUAAAAUAUUUAAUGUAUCAAUAGACAAGGAUAAUUUAAUUCAUGCAGGGAUCAGCUUUCAAUUUUCUGAAUUGGCGCGAAAGCACGUCCAUUGU